UACGUAGGGUGCAAGCGUUGUCCGGAAUUAUUGGGCGUAAAGAGCUCGUAGGCGGUCUGUCGCGUCGAAUGUGAAAACCCGGGGCUCAACUCCGGGCUUGCAUUCGAUACGGGCAGGCUAGAGUUCGGUAGGGGAGUCUGGAAUUCCUGGUGUAGCGGUGAAAUGCGCAGAUAUCAGGAGGAACACCGAUGGCGAAGGCGGGUCUCUGGGCAUUAACUGACGCUGAGGAGCGAAAGCGUGGGGAGCGAACAGG
This 253-nucleotide ribosomal RNA is filed under the name uncultured bacterium. RNAcentral's name for it is "partial 16S ribosomal RNA". It matches the Rfam family "Bacterial small subunit ribosomal RNA", at positions 524 to 776 of the family's 1533-position model. The record is from RNAcentral.